AGAUUGAACGCUGGCGGCAUGCCUAACACAUGCAAGUCGAACGGCAGCGCGGGUAGCAAUACCUGGCGGCGAGUGGCGGACGGGUGAGGAAUACAUAGGAAUCUACCCUGUCGUGGGGGAUAACGUAGGGAAACUUACGCUAAUACCGCAUACGACCGAGAGGUGAAAGCGGCGGACCGCAAGGCGUCGCGCGGCUGGAUGAGCCUAUGUCCGAUUAGCUAGGUUGGCGGGUAAGAGCCCACAAGGCGACGAUCGGUAGCUGGUCUGAGAGGAUGAUCAGCCACACUGGGACUGAGACACGGCCCAGACUCCGUACGGGAGGCAGCA
This 327-nucleotide ribosomal RNA is filed under the name uncultured soil bacterium. RNAcentral's name for it is "bacterial SSU rRNA". It matches the Rfam family "Bacterial small subunit ribosomal RNA", at positions 26 to 353 of the family's 1533-position model. The record is from RNAcentral.